UAUGUGAUCGUCUCUCGCAUAUCAAUAAGCGGAGGAAAAGAAACUAACAAGGAUUCCCCUAGUAACGGCGAGUGAAGCGGGAAGAGCUCAAAUUUGAAAUCUUAAGGGGUUUCCCUUUACGAAUUGUAGUUUAAAGAAGUGUUUUCUGUUGAGGUUUUGGUAAAAGUUCUUUGGAAUAGGACAUCAUAGAGGGUGAGAAUCCCGUAUUUGACCUUUACUUUCAACUUUGUGAUACACUUUCAAAGAGUCGGAUUGUUUGGGAAUGCAGUCCAAAAUGGGUGGUAAAUUUCAUCUAAAGCUAAAUAUUGGCGAGAGACCGAUAGCGAACAAGUACCGUGAGGGAAAGAUGAAAAGAACUUUGAAAAGAGAGUUAAACAGUACGUGAAAUUGUCAAAAGGGAAGCGUUUGACACCAGUGUUGUUUUUCUGAAAAUCAAUCAAAGAACUGUUUAUGCUAAGUUGUUUAGACUUUAUCAGCUAACUGUUUAGUUUUGAGCUUUUCUUUAAUGCACUUUUCAGUUAACAAGUCAACAUCAAUUUCUUUUGCUGUAAAAAAGCUUGAGGAAGGUGGCUUGAGAUUCGUCUUAAGUGUUUAUAGCCUCUUGCCUAUGCAGUCGGAGAGAUUGAGGUCUGCAGCGUAGAUCCUUCGGGGCUAAAUGCAUUUGUGCUAAGUUAUAGCAUUUUAUAGACAACUUGUUGACUAUGAUUUGUCUUGUAGCUUACUCGCUUAUGUUAUUUUACCUACGCUUAGGAUGUUGACACACGCGCGUGCUCG
This 774-nucleotide ribosomal RNA is filed under the name uncultured Neocallimastigales. Its description in RNAcentral is "partial large subunit ribosomal RNA". It matches the Rfam family "Eukaryotic large subunit ribosomal RNA", at positions 24 to 643 of the family's 3401-position model. Lineage: Eukaryota; Fungi; Neocallimastigomycota; Neocallimastigomycetes; Neocallimastigales. The record is from RNAcentral.